GUAUAGUAGUGCGUGUGCACAACAGUAAUUUCAUUACAUUCGAGUGGGUGUAAAAUCCUCUGCCCGCCGAAGCUAGCAAGAGGCCAAAGGUUCACAGGGGUAUUGGAAUGAAAGCCACCGACGUGCACUUGCAGGAGCCAGCACAGAAGGCAACAGUUUACAAUCAAUAAUGAUCCUUCCGCAGGUUCACCUACGGAAA
This 199-nucleotide unclassified non-coding RNA is filed under the name uncultured fungus. Its description in RNAcentral is "sequence contains ITS1". The record is from RNAcentral. Lineage: Eukaryota; Fungi.